This 1808-nucleotide long non-coding RNA is filed under the name Sus scrofa (pig). Its description in RNAcentral is "lncRNA (ENSSSCG00035025879.1)". The record is from RNAcentral. Lineage: Eukaryota; Metazoa; Chordata; Mammalia; Artiodactyla; Suidae.
CUGGAACCUGCCUUUCGGACUCCCCAUCAGAAUGGGCAGAUUGCUGACUCUUGCUGGUUCUGCCCACCAGCUGACAUGCUACUUCGCCUGGCACCAGCCAGGCCCGGGGCACAUCCAGCCUGGCAUGACCCCUUCCUCUGUACUCACCCGACUUAUGCCAUUGCUGAGAGAUGUGGGAAAUGAGAUGGCACCAUUAAAUGAAAGGAUGUAACUCUCUGCCAAACUCUCCUUGAACUGGAAAACAAGAGUCAUGUGAAAACUCUCCCUGCUGUUGGCAGCUGGGAUUUCGGAGCCACUCCACGAACUUUUCAAGAUGAUUUUCUACACUGAUUUCACGACAAGGCUGUUGGGAUGACCAAGGCCUCACCCUGCCUUCUUUGGGCUGUUGGCUGCCACCGUUUCCACUACUGAGAACCCCCAGACUUCUAUCGCCUUAGGCACCAAAUUCCUGGGCCAGUAGGAGUUUGGAAGAACCCUGGCUCUCAGAAGCGCUCCUCAGGACAAGCGUCUCUUCCCCGUCCUGGUGCAGGUGAACUGUAUUCCAUUUGAUCUUGACUGGAAAGCAGACAACCAGUUUCUCAUGCAAGAAAACUGAGGCCACAUAGAAAGCCUAGCUCCUACAACCUCAGUUGGAGAGGAGGGAUCUGGAGACUCCAUUCCAGGGAGGAUGCGAGGAACGAAGGAUGGGAGAGACUAACUUAACUCAGAGUAGUGCUGGAAGUCAACGUUGAGUUGAUGUCCGCAGAUUUUCUUCUACGCAUGUGUGGAAUAUCCAUGGACGGAAAGCCGAGGAGAUCAACAAACCCAAGCUGAUGGUCACCGCUGCGGUAGCUGCUGGCAUCUCCAACAUCCAGUCUGGCUAUGAGAUCCCCCAGCUGUUCCAGUGAGUGAUAACAUGUCCCAUAACUCCUCUGUGUAUCAGUUGUGCAAGAGACACUCAUUCUUAGUUGGCCCGCUGUUCAGGAACCUUGUUUGGGAAGUCUCAUCUUUUGCCUGCAUAGGAGUGGAAAGUAAUCAGAAAUGUCUUUGGGAGUUCCCGUUGUGGUGCAGCAGGUUAAGAACCUGACCAGUAUCCAUGAGGAUGUGGGUUCAAUCCCUGGGUUAAAGGAUCUGGCCUUGCCACAAGCUGGGGGUGUAGGUCACAGAUGCGGCUUUGGUCCUGCAUUGCUGUGGCUGUGGCAUUGGCUGGCAGCUGCUGCUCUGAUUUGACCCCUAGCCUGGCAACUUCUAUAUGCCGCAGGUGUAACUGUAAAAAGAAAAAUUUUAAAAAGGAAAUAAAUAUCAGAGGCCAAAAAAUAAUAGAAUAUCUUUUAAACCCUAAAAAAAAAAAAAAAAGUCAACCCAAUUCUGUUCAGUGAAAAUAUCCAAAAGUAAAGUUGAAAGACAUGUUUAGGUAAAUAAAAAAACAAAAAAGAAAUCCUUUACCAUACCUCAGGCACCUAGACUAGAUCCAUAUUGUGACUCAUGACCUCAGGUUCCUGGGGUUGCGGGGGUGGCUACGCUGGACAGAAGAGCUCUCUCUACAAAUAGCCACCUGGCACUGGCAGCAUCACCAACCAUGUGGAGUCCCCGCACAGACCCAAAGGCAGACCAGGAAUGCUGCUGUAAAUGACAGGGAGGAUCAGGGACAAAAGGCAUCAUAAAUUUAGUAAUUUUCUUAAAUGAGAAAUCAGCCUGUUAUGUCAUUAGCCAGUUUCCACUUACUAAAAAUUCACCAAUUAAUUAAUACUGUACUGAUAAUUUUAUUUAGAUAGGAAACAAGAUUAACAACCUGUGCUUUUUUUUAAAUAAAGAAGAUGAAGUACCAU